RNAcentral lists this transfer RNA (76 nucleotides) under Pythium insidiosum. RNAcentral describes it as "tRNA-Glu". The record is from RNAcentral. Lineage: Eukaryota; Oomycota; Peronosporomycetes; Pythiales; Pythiaceae.
UCCCAUAUAGUCCUAGGUGGUUAGGAUACGUGGCUUUCACCCACGCGACCCGAGGUUCGAGUUCCCGGUGUGGGAA